This is a non-coding RNA of Dactylonectria estremocensis, 72 nucleotides long. The record is from the annotation of a GenBank genome assembly. NCBI's taxonomy places the organism in Eukaryota, Fungi, Ascomycota, Sordariomycetes, Hypocreales, Nectriaceae.
GGAUCGAUAGCUCAGUGGUAGAGCGGGAGAUUGCAGAUCUUCAGGCCGCGUGUUCAAACCACGCUCGGUCCU